GAUAAGGAUAGGUCAUCUAAUGGUAAGAUACCACCCCAUCGAUGGGUGGGACGACAGUUCGACUCUGUCCCCUUAUCU
This 78-nucleotide transfer RNA is filed under the name Candidatus Yanofskyibacteriota bacterium. RNAcentral's name for it is "Candidatus Yanofskybacteria bacterium tRNA-Arg". Lineage: Bacteria; Candidatus Yanofskyibacteriota. The record is from RNAcentral.